GACGAACGCUGGCGGCGUGCUUAACACAUGCAAGUCGAACGGAAAGGCCCUGCUUUUGUGGGGUGCUCGAGUGGCGAACGGGUGAGUAACACGUGAGUAACCUGCCCUUGACUUUGGGAUAACUUCAGGAAACUGGGGCUAAUACCGGAUAGGAGCUCCUGCUGCAUGGUGGGGGUUGGAAAGUUUCGGCGGUUGGGGAUGGACUCGCGGCUUAUCAGCUUGUUGGUGGGGUAGUGGCUUACCAAGGCUUUGACGGGUAGCCGGCCUGAGAGGGUGACCGGACACAUUGGGACUGAGAUACGGCCCAGACUCCUACGGGAGGCAGCAGUGGGGAAUAGUGCACAAUGGGCGGAAGCAUGAUGCAGCAACGCCGCGUGCGGGAUGACGGCCGUCGGGUUGUAAACCGCUUUCGCCUGUGACGAAGCGUGAGGGACGGUAAUGGGUAAAGAAGCACCGGCUAACUACGUG
Molecule: ribosomal RNA, 468 nt
Filed under: uncultured bacterium
Lineage: Bacteria
Description: partial 16S ribosomal RNA
Rfam family: Bacterial small subunit ribosomal RNA
Source: RNAcentral